Molecule: ribosomal RNA, 3007 nt
Filed under: Salmonella enterica
Lineage: Bacteria; Pseudomonadati; Pseudomonadota; Gammaproteobacteria; Enterobacterales; Enterobacteriaceae
Description: 23S ribosomal RNA
Rfam family: Bacterial large subunit ribosomal RNA
Source: RNAcentral
GGUUAAGCGACUAAGCGUACACGGUGGAUGCCCUGGCAGUCAGAGGCGAUGAAGGGCGUGCUAAUCUGCGAUAAGCGCCGGUAAGGUGAUAUGAACCGUUAUAACCGGCGAUACCCGAAUGGGGAAACCCAGUGUGAUUCGUCACACUAUCAUUAACUGAAUCCAUAGGUUAAUGAGGCGAACCGGGGGAACUGAAACAUCUAAGUACCCCGAGGAAAAGAAAUCAACCGAGAUUCCCCCAGUAGCGGCGAGCGAACGGGGAGGAGCCCAGAGCCUGAAUCAGCAUGUGUGUUAGUGGAAGCGUCUGGAAAGGCGCGCGAUACAGGGUGACAGCCCCGUACACAAAAGCGCAUGUGCUGUGAGCUCGAUGAGUAGGGCGGGACACGUGGUAUCCUGUCUGAAUAUGGGGGGACCAUCCUCCAAGGCUAAAUACUCCUGACUGACCGAUAGUGAACCAGUACCGUGAGGGAAAGGCGAAAAGAACCCCGGCGAGGGGAGUGAAAAAGAACCUGAAACCGUGUACGUACAAGCAGUGGGAGCCCCACCACUAAGCCAGUGGUGAACUCCACAUACGCAUCCUUUGCUGAGGAUACGGUUAACGGAGCGAAAGCGACGUUCAACCUCAAAAGAAGCAGAGGGGGCUUAGUGGUGGGGUGACUGCGUACCUUUUGUAUAAUGGGUCAGCGACUUAUAUUCUGUAGCAAGGUUAACCGUAUAGGGGAGCCGUAGGGAAACCGAGUCUUAACCGGGCGUUAAGUUGCAGGGUAUAGACCCGAAACCCGGUGAUCUAGCCAUGGGCAGGUUGAAGGUUGGGUAACACUAACUGGAGGACCGAACCGACUAAUGUUGAAAAAUUAGCGGAUGACCUGUGGCUGGGGGUGAAAGGCCAAUCAAACCGGGAGAUAGCUGGUUCUCCCCGAAAGCUAUUUAGGUAGCGCCUCGUGAAUUCAUCUCCGGGGGUAGAGCACUGUUUCGGCUAGGGGGCCAUCCCGGCUUACCAACCCGAUGCAAACUGCGAAUACCGGAGAAUGUUAUCACGGGAGACACACGGCGGGUGCUAACGUCCGUCGUGAAGAGGGAAACAACCCAGACCGCCAGCUAAGGUCCCAAAGUCAUGGUUAAGUGGGAAACGAUGUGGGAAGGCCCAGACAGCCAGGAUGUUGGCUUAGAAGCAGCCAUCAUUUAAAGAAAGCGUAAUAGCUCACUGGUCGAGUCGGCCUGCGCGGAAGAUGUAACGGGGCUAAACCAUGCACCGAAGCUGCGGCAGCGACACUCAGGUGUUGUUGGGUAGGGGAGCGUUCUGUAAGCCUGUGAAGGUGGCCUGUGAGGGUUGCUGGAGGUAUCAGAAGUGCGAAUGCUGACAUAAGUAACGAUAAAGCGGGUGAAAAGCCCGCUCGCCGGAAGACCAAGGGUUCCUGUCCAACGUUAAUCGGGGCAGGGUGAGUCGACCCCUAAGGCGAGGCCGAAAGGCGUAGUCGAUGGGAAACAGGUUAAUAUUCCUGUACUUGGUGUUACUGCGAAGGGGGGACGGAGAAGGCUAUGUUGGCCGGGCGACGGUUGUCCCGGUUUAAGCGUGUAGGUGUGUGUUCCAGGUAAAUCCGGUUCACUUUAACACUGAGGCGUGAUGACGAGGCACUACGGUGCUGAAGCAACAAAUGCCCUGCUUCCAGGAAAAGCCUCUAAGCAUCAGGUAACAUCAAAUCGUACCCCAAACCGACACAGGUGGUCAGGUAGAGAAUACCAAGGCGCUUGAGAGAACUCGGGUGAAGGAACUAGGCAAAAUGGUGCCGUAACUUCGGGAGAAGGCACGCUGACACGUAGGUGAAGUGAUUUACUCAUGGAGCUGAAGUCAGUCGAAGAUACCAGCUGGCUGCAACUGUUUAUUAAAAACACAGCACUGUGCAAACACGAAAGUGGACGUAUACGGUGUGACGCCUGCCCGGUGCCGGAAGGUUAAUUGAUGGGGUCAGCGCAAGCGAAGCUCCUGAUCGAAGCCCCGGUAAACGGCGGCCGUAACUAUAACGGUCCUAAGGUAGCGAAAUUCCUUGUCGGGUAAGUUCCGACCUGCACGAAUGGCGUAAUGAUGGCCAGGCUGUCUCCACCCGAGACUCAGUGAAAUUGAACUCGCUGUGAAGAUGCAGUGUACCCGCGGCAAGACGGAAAGACCCCGUGAACCUUUACUAUAGCUUGACACUGAACAUUGAGCCUUGAUGUGUAGGAUAGGUGGGAGGCUUUGAAGUGUGGACGCCAGUCUGCAUGGAGCCGACCUUGAAAUACCACCCUUUAAUGUUUGAUGUUCUAACGUGGACCCGUAAUCCGGGUUGCGGACAGUGUCUGGUGGGUAGUUUGACUGGGGCGGUCUCCUCCUAAAGAGUAACGGAGGAGCACGAAGGUUGGCUAAUCCUGGUCGGACAUCAGGAGGUUAGUGCAAUGGCAUAAGCCAGCUUGACUGCGAGCGUGACGGCGCGAGCAGGUGCGAAAGCAGGUCAUAGUGAUCCGGUGGUUCUGAAUGGAAGGGCCAUCGCUCAACGGAUAAAAGGUACUCCGGGGAUAACAGGCUGAUACCGCCCAAGAGUUCAUAUCGACGGCGGUGUUUGGCACCUCGAUGUCGGCUCAUCACAUCCUGGGGCUGAAGUAGGUCCCAAGGGUAUGGCUGUUCGCCAUUUAAAGUGGUACGCGAGCUGGGUUUAGAACGUCGUGAGACAGUUCGGUCCCUAUCUGCCGUGGGCGCUGGAGAACUGAGGGGGGCUGCUCCUAGUACGAGAGGACCGGAGUGGACGCAUCACUGGUGUUCGGGUUGUCAUGCCAAUGGCACUGCCCGGUAGCUAAAUGCGGAAGAGAUAAGUGCUGAAAGCAUCUAAGCACGAAACUUGCCCCGAGAUGAGUUCUCCCUGAGACUUAGAGUCUCCUGAAGGAACGUUGAAGACGACGACGUUGAUAGGCCGGGUGUGUAAGCGCAGCGAUGCGUUGAGCUAACCGGUACUAAUGAACCGUGAGGCUUAACCUU